AAUCAACGCUGGCGGCGCGCUUAACACAUGCAAGUCGAACGAGAAAGUGGAGCAAUCCAUGAGUAAAGUGGCGUACGGGUGAGUAACACGUGGAUCAUCUACCUCUUAGUGGGGAAUAACGCUGGGAAACCGGCGCUAAUACCGCAUAAGCCUUAGCAGGGAAAGUCGCCCUGGUAAAACAGGGUGACGCUGAGAGAGGAGUCCGCGGCCGAUUAGCUAGUUGGUGAGGUAAAAGCCCACCAAGGCAAAGAUCGGUAGCCGGCCUGAGAGGGCACACGGCCACACUGGCACUGAAACACGGGCCAGACUCCUACGGGAGGCAGCAGUGGGGAAUCUUGCACAAUGGGGAAACCCUGAUGCAGCGACGCCGCGUGAGCGAUGAAGCCCUU
This 389-nucleotide ribosomal RNA is filed under the name uncultured bacterium. RNAcentral's name for it is "bacterial SSU rRNA". It matches the Rfam family "Bacterial small subunit ribosomal RNA", at positions 32 to 418 of the family's 1533-position model. The record is from RNAcentral.